Molecule: long non-coding RNA, 722 nt
Organism: Lampris incognitus (smalleye Pacific opah)
Lineage: Eukaryota; Metazoa; Chordata; Actinopteri; Lampriformes; Lampridae
Exons: 3
Source: RefSeq, a predicted model, not a curated record
CCUUGACUCCUGCCUCUGAUCUUCCAGUAAUGGAGGAGGACAACGAGUUGGAGAGGGCGAUGCUGAGUCUGUCCCCAUCGAAAUUCCAGACCCAGCUGACCUCUCCCUGACUGGCCCCUGCGCUGUCUGCAGCUGUUAUUCCACCACGCCCACCACACUCUGCUCCAUCUCCUUCCACGUCUGCUGCUCAUGGUCUACCCCAUCCUGCUCCAACUGCUGCUGAUGCUCUACCCCAUCCUGCUCCAUCUACUAUCCCACUACUCCCCAGGUAUGACCAAGACAUCAGCCAGUGGAACUGCUCCCACAACCAAAAGAUCUGGAUGAAGGCGGAGAUGGAAACUUUGGGACUAUGGCCAGGAUCUCAAGCUGUGCGACAUGUCAUGGGUAUGAUCUCCUUGUGGCGUCAUCCACCCCAACCAGAACUCAUAGAUUCACUCUAUGAUUUGCCAUCUCCGAGAUACUUCCGACUACACCCUUUUUUCAUUUGGAAACCAGCGCAUGGCAUUAUGGAGAGAGUGAGGAACAAUUAUAUCUUGCCCUGUCUCUACGGCUGCUCCCGGGGCUGUCCCGUCGCUAUGAUUUAGCUGGACAGCCGGAGGCAAAGUACCAGUGGGUGGACGAGUAAGAGCCAGAUCACAAAUUGCUUCUAUGCAGGACAGGAAAAUAGUGCAAAACAUAAUGUACUAUAUAGUUACAGAGAUUAAUUGCAUGUAAGUGAUGUA